AUUAAACGCUGGCGGCAUGCCUUACACAUGCAAGUCGAACGGCAGCACGGGGGCAACCCUGGUGGCGAGUGGCGGACGGGUGAGUAAAGCAUCGGAACGUAUCCUGGAGUGGGGGAUAACGUAGCGAAAGUUACGCUAAUACCGCAUAUUCUGUGAGCAGGAAAGCAGGGGAUCGCAAGACCUUGCGCUCUGGGAGCGGCCGAUGUCGGAUUAGCUAGUUGGUGGGGUAAAGGCCUACCAAGGCGACGAUCCGUAGCGGGUCUGAGAGGAUGAUCCGCCACACUGGGACUGAGACACGGCCCAGACUCCUACGGGAGGCAGCAGUGGGAGUUUUGGACAAUGGGCGAAAGCCUGAUCCAGCCAUUCCGCGUGCAGGAUGAAGGCCCUCGGGUUGUAACUGCUUUUGUACAGAACGAAAAAGCUACUUUCUAAUACAGAGAGUCCAUGACGGUACUGUAAG
This 460-nucleotide ribosomal RNA is filed under the name uncultured bacterium. RNAcentral describes it as "bacterial SSU rRNA". It matches the Rfam family "Bacterial small subunit ribosomal RNA", at positions 30 to 484 of the family's 1533-position model. The record is from RNAcentral.